AUCAUACUCCCUCCGUCCCAAAAUAAGUGACGUGGAUUUGUACUUGAAUCUAUACAAAUCCACGUCACUUAUUUUGGGACGGAGGGAGUAGUUA
This is a non-coding RNA of Brachypodium distachyon (stiff brome), 94 nucleotides long. Lineage: Eukaryota; Viridiplantae; Streptophyta; Magnoliopsida; Poales; Poaceae. The record is from Rfam.